RNAcentral lists this ribosomal RNA (541 nucleotides) under uncultured bacterium. Its description in RNAcentral is "bacterial SSU rRNA". It matches the Rfam family "Bacterial small subunit ribosomal RNA", at positions 355 to 896 of the family's 1533-position model. The record is from RNAcentral.
UGAGGAAUCUUGCGCAAUGGAGGAAACUCUGACGCAGCCACGCCGCGUGCCGGAAGACGGCCCUAUGGGUUGUAAACGGCUUUUGUUCGGGAAGAAAGUACGGGUUUUGAUCUGUAUUGACGGUACCGAUUGAAUAAGCACCGGCUAACUCCGUGCCAGCAGCCGCGGUAAUACGGAGGGUGCAAGCGUUGUCCGGAAUCAUUGGGUGUAAAGGGUGCGUAGGCUGGUGUCUAAGUCUGGGGUGAAAUUUUGCCGCUUAACGGUAACAUGGCCUUGGAUACUGGAUGCCUUGAAUCUGACAGAGGUCGGUGGAAUUCGUAGUGUAGCGGUGAAAUGCAUAGAUAUUACGAAGAACACCAGUGGCGAAGGCGGCCGGCUGGGUCAGUAUUGACGCUGAGGCACGAGAGCGUGGGGAGCGAACAGGAUUAGAUACCCUGGUAGUCCACGCUGUAAACGAUGUAUGCUAGUUGUUGGGCCUUUGGGUUCAGUGACGCAGUUAACGCAGUAAGCAUACCACCUGGGGAGUACGUUCGCAAGAAUG